UUGAGCUAAACUUCACCUGUGAUCAACGAUUUAUUGGUCCCAGUUUAUAUAAUUUGCCACACCUUUAACAAAUUAGCUAUAAAACUACUUAAAACACAAUUUAAAAUGCCAUAAUCCGGUAAAUACUUUGUUUCAAAUGGCCCUAGGCCUUUGUUCUUUUAUUUUUCAGAUUAUUGAAAAUGAAUUAUCUGCCCCAUACUUUAAAAGAUAUUUUUUUCUUAAAAAACACUUUUUCCUACUAUAUUGUUUAGACCAUUUUGUUUUAAAUUAUCUGUUAAGUUUAUUUUUAUAUAUUAAUUAUUUUUAUAAUGAAGGCCAUGUUUAGUUCGUGUGCCAAAAUUUUUUUGAAGUACACGGAUACACAUUUAAAGUAUUAACUAUAGACUAAUAACAAAACAAAUUACAGAUUCCACCUGUAAACUGCGAGACGAAUUUAUUAAGCCUAAUUAAUCCAUCAUUAGUAAAUAUUUACUGCAGCAUCACAUUGUCAAAUCAUGACGUAAUUAGGCUCAAAAGAUUCGUCUCGCAAUUUACCUGCAAACUGUGUAAUUGGUUUUUUCAUCCAUAUUUAAUGCUUCAUGUAUGUGUCUAAAUAUUUAAUGGGACGGAAAAAUUGAAAGUUUAAAGGAACUAAACACUGUCUAAAUAGAUAAUCCUCUAAAUCUAACAUGACCCUAACUUAUUUAUAUGAAAAUCGCUAGCUAUGGAGUAUUAGAGCCGAGCAUGUGCAGUGGCAAAAUUGAAUGGUGGGCAAACACAUGUACUAAGACUGUCAGCUAGUCAGUUAUUGCAUGGCAACCCCAAGUCAACUGUUGCGAAUCUUGAACCAUCUGCAAGGAUUUAAAACGGCCACCUACCCAUAACCAAAGCAGCUCGUGAUGAUUUGUUGCUGUUCUUCACCAUUGAUAUCCUUUACAAACACAACUGGCCCAGCAGCUCAGCUAUAUAUGCAGCCUCCACAUUCCACAGUUGCACACAUCCGAGCGAGGACACCGGCUGGCGAUCGAGCAUAUAUAUGCAUGCACUUGAUUCUUUACAACGACUCGCGUACGUACCAGUACCAUCCUUUUCAUUACUGAAUUUUGCUCAACAAUCGGCGCCCGUUUUGGUUACGUCUCAGGAUCUGUUUCCAGCUGCACAUGGGUAAACUGCUUCAAUCUGCGGCGCCACAUUAUUGAAGCCAUUGGUGAAUUGGUGAGGUGAAAUGCGCGAAAUUUCACGAGCGGCCGGUCGAUCUCUUGGUGAGGUGAAAGCGGUGAAAAUCUGAAAUCUCGCGUCAGAUUUGUUCACUGGAGCUGGUGGUGGUGACAACCUACUGCAAACGUCUGAACCUGCAAUUUAACGUUUAUGACGGCCCUGCCUGAGUGGCUGACACGACGAUGAAAAAUGAAUUUAAUCAUGCAUGCAUGGCUUGCAUGUACGUACGUACUACGUACGUAGCAAAUCUGUAUUAACAUGCAUGCAUUGAUGGAAGCCAAUAAAGGAUCGAUCGAUAAGAAAACAUCGAGGGCCAGGGAUGCUACGUGAAGGCCCGACCGUUGUUUGUUGUAGCGAUUAAUUCGAACUUAGAAGUGUGGACAUGGGGCCGAGACAAGAUCAGAAGCCGAGUUAAUGAUUACACAAAGGCUUUGAAUUACAUUUUUGCUAUUUUACUUACAAUGGAUUUUUAGGUUUCUGUCUUUCAACUUUCGUUCGUAGGAUUUUGUAUCAAAAUUCAUGUUCAUGUAUAUCAAGCUUACAUAUAUACUUUGUUAGAUAGCAUUUAUAUCCAGUUAGCAUAUAUUUAUACUCAGUUACAGUGCACCAAAAUUAGAUUUUACACUAUUUUUUCUAGAUUUAUGAUUAUUUAUUUUUGUUAUUUCAUUUAAAAUGGGAUAUAUCAUUGGUUAAAAUUUUUGCAAGAUAGUCCCUUGAAAAAAUUCUGCAAGAUUUAAAGUUAUAAAUCCAUUAAAAGAUCAAUAGAUAUCCCUUUAAUUAUAUUGUUGAGCUGAUGGUUAUCGUGAAUUAUCUAUUUAUUGCAUGGUAAAUUAAAUAUUAUGAAAAGUAACUUACCAAAGAACUUAAAAUAACUUAAAAUAAGUGGUCUAAAUAAUACUACAGUAGAAGAUUUUUUUUUGAGAAAACAUUUUUUUUUCAAAUCGUGAAGCAAGUAAUCAGUUUUAAUAAUUUUAUGAAUGAGGCCUUGUUUAGUUCCCAAAACAAAAACUUUUCACCCAUCACAUCGAAGAUAUUUGGACACAUGCAUGGAGUAUUAAAUGUGGAAAAAAUCAAUUACACAGUUUGCGUGUAAAUUGCGAGACGAAUAUUUUAAGUAUAAUUGCGCCAUGAUUUGGUAAUGUGGUGCUACAGUGAAUAUUUGCCAAUGACGGAUUAAUUAGGCUUAAUAAAUUCAUCUCACUGUUUCCUAGCGGAAUCUGUGGUUUGUUUUGUUAUUAGACUACGUUUAAUACUUCAAAUGUGUGUCCGUAUAUCCGAUGUGAUAACCAAACCCAAAAUUUUUCCCCAAGUGGUGGUGUUUGGAUGUAGGGACUAAACUUUAGUCUUUGUCACAUAGGGUGUUUGACACUAAUUUAGAGUAUUAAACAUAGACUAAUAAUAAAAAUAAUUGCAUAAAUGAGAGCUAAUUUACGAGAUGAAUUUUUUAAGUCUAGUUAAUCCAUAAUUAGCAAAUGUUUACUGUAGCAUCACAUGGACUAAUCAUGUAUUAAUUAGGCUCAAUAGAUUCGUCUUGCGAAUUAGUCCAAGGUUUAUAGAAUAUGUUUUAUAAUUAAUCUAUGUUUAAUACUCUAAAUUAGUGUUCAAACAUCUCAUGUGAUAGAGACUUAAAAAAAAUUUAGUCCCUGAGCUGAAAAGAACGGAGCCGAAGUAUUGGACUGGACCCGAGAUCUCCUCUCUGCUACAUGCUUCCAUUCAAAUCAAUCGUCGGUCUUUUACUCCCCCACAGACAUGAGACACGGCGUGCCAACUUCUUUUGGUAAAGAGUUGGGGGAUGGAAAUGACGAGUGUAUGAUCCCUAGAAAUUCUUGGCGAAGACUAAAGUUGGGAAAAGCGGCUGGCUUCAUGAGGAAGUCACCACCACACUCCCCCGGCCCGCUGCGAUGGGCCCCGAAAGCCUCUU
Molecule: small RNA, 3118 nt
Filed under: Oryza sativa Japonica Group (Japanese rice)
Lineage: Eukaryota; Viridiplantae; Streptophyta; Magnoliopsida; Poales; Poaceae
Description: sRNA Os02g0772700
Source: RNAcentral